Molecule: ribosomal RNA, 656 nt
Filed under: uncultured Pseudomonadota bacterium
Lineage: Bacteria; Pseudomonadati; Pseudomonadota
Description: bacterial SSU rRNA
Rfam family: Bacterial small subunit ribosomal RNA
Source: RNAcentral
GAAGCAGCUUGCUGCUUCGCUGACGAGUGGCGGACGGGUGAGUAAUGUCUGGGAAACUGCCUGAUGGAGGGGGAUAACUACUGGAAACGGUAGCUAAUACCGCAUAACGUCGCAAGACCAAAGAGGGGGACCUUCGGGCCUCUUGCCAUCGGAUGUGCCCAGAUGGGAUUAGCUAGUAGGUGGGGUAACGGCUCACCUAGGCGACGAUCCCUAGCUGGUCUGAGAGGAUGACCAGCCACACUGGAACUGAGACACGGUCCAGACUCCUACGGGAGGCAGCAGUGGGGAAUAUUGCACAAUGGGCGCAAGCCUGAUGCAGCCAUGCCGCGUGUAUGAAGAAGGCCUUCGGGUUGUAAAGUACUUUCAGCGGGGAGGAAGGCGGUGAGGUUAAUAACCUCAUCGAUUGACGUUACCCGCAGAAGAAGCACCGGCUAACUCCGUGCCAGCAGCCGCGGUAAUACGGAGGGUGCAAGCGUUAAUCGGAAUUACUGGGCGUAAAGCGCACGCAGGCGGUCUGUCAAGUCGGAUGUGAAAUCCCCGGGCUCAACCUGGGAACUGCAUUCGAAACUGGCAGGCUAGAGUCUUGUAGAGGGGGGUAGAAUUCCAGGUGUAGCGGUGAAAUGCGUAGAGAUCUGGAGGAAUACCGGUGGCGAAGG